This 209-nucleotide long non-coding RNA is filed under the name Panicum hallii. RNAcentral describes it as "long non-coding RNA (PHAL_LNC000814)". The record is from RNAcentral. Lineage: Eukaryota; Viridiplantae; Streptophyta; Magnoliopsida; Poales; Poaceae.
UUCAAAAGUGCAGGUCUCGUCUCAAGAACAGGAUCACCAUCUGUAGGUCUUGUACUAAUCUAGGUCUCGUACUAAUCUGUUGGAAGCCUGCACCAAUGAAUUCCACCCCUUACUGAGCUUAGCAUGCACCCACAAUGCAAACACCAAGUUAAGAUAGAAAAAAACCAGAAUUAGAAUGGGUCUCAUAAAUAUGGCUCCUUCAAUAUUAA